GCCUCCAGAACUUGCCAUAGGACCUCUCCAUCCGGUGCCAGUGGUCACCUUUCUUCUCCUCUUCCUUCUUCCUCUCCCCGCUCACCCUCAGCACUCUUUGGCUCUCGUCCACCUCUAUCUUCACCUCCUCCUUCCUCAGACCCGGGAUGUCCAUCAUGAUAACAUGUCCCUCAGGUGUCUCCUUCCAGUCCACCCUGGCUGGAGAGGGGGCUAGGUCCGCAUCCCUGUCGAGGCCCAAGGGGAUCUGCUCCAGAACUCGGAAUGGAUCUGGGAAACGGUCCGACCAGAUGUCCAACAGGGACCCCUGGGUCGACCCAGCUGCAAGGAAGAACACAAGCAAUAGCAGCAAAGAAGAAACAAGAGAGUGUUUCAUUUUGG
Molecule: long non-coding RNA, 378 nt
Filed under: Vitis vinifera (wine grape)
Lineage: Eukaryota; Viridiplantae; Streptophyta; Magnoliopsida; Vitales; Vitaceae
Description: long non-coding RNA (VVIN_LNC006359)
Source: RNAcentral